RNAcentral lists this ribosomal RNA (468 nucleotides) under uncultured bacterium. Its description in RNAcentral is "partial 16S ribosomal RNA". It matches the Rfam family "Bacterial small subunit ribosomal RNA", at positions 28 to 507 of the family's 1533-position model. The record is from RNAcentral.
GACGAACGCUGGCGGCGUGCUUAACACAUGCAAGUCGAACGGAAAGGCCCUGCUUUUGUGGGGUGCUCGAGUGGCGAACGGGUGAGUAACACGUGAGUAACCUGUCCUUGACUUUGGGAUAACUUCAGGAAACUGGGGCUAAUCCCGGAUAGGAGCUCCUGCUGCAUGGUGGGGGUUGGAAAGUUUCGGCGGUUGGGGAUGGACUAGCGGCCUAUCAGCUUGUUGGUGGGGUAGUGGCUUACCAAGGCUUGGAGGGGUAGCCGGCCUGCGAGGGUGACCGGCCCCGUUAGGACUGAGAUACGGCCCAGACUAGUACGGGAGGCAGCAGUGGGGAAGAUUGCACAAUGGGCGGAAGCCUGAUGCAGCAACGCCGCGUGCGGGAUGACGGCCUUCGGGUUGUAAACCGCUUUCGCCUGUGACGAAGCGUGAGUGACGGUAAUGGGUAAAGAAGCACCGGCUAACUACGUG